This 179-nucleotide non-coding RNA is filed under the name Clostridiales bacterium. RNAcentral describes it as "6S RNA". It matches the Rfam family "6S / SsrS RNA". Rfam says of the family: E. coli 6S RNA was the first non coding RNA to be sequenced, but its function was unknown until recently. It consists of 184 nucleotides that fold into an extended hairpin structure with a large single-stranded internal bulge. The record is from RNAcentral. Lineage: Bacteria; Bacillati; Bacillota; Clostridia; Eubacteriales.
GCGAAUCUGGGAUGUUCGCCAGUUCGUGUAAUUUGAUCCGACAAUUUUGAUUUGGGAUUCCUAUACUAUACUUUAAAGCCAUGCCUCUUUAAGGUGGAAGGCUGCGAUGAUAUAUGCGGAGACCCACCUGGCCUGAUGCCGGGAGUCAUAACUGCGGGCAACGGCAUCUCGGGUUAUUU